RNAcentral lists this ribosomal RNA (253 nucleotides) under uncultured bacterium. Its description in RNAcentral is "partial 16S ribosomal RNA". It matches the Rfam family "Bacterial small subunit ribosomal RNA", at positions 524 to 776 of the family's 1533-position model. The record is from RNAcentral.
UACGAAGGGAGCUAGCGUUGUUCGGAAUCACUGGGCGUAAAGGGCGCGUAGGCGGUGUGUCAAGUCAGGCGUGAAAGCCCCGGGCUCAACCUGGGAACAGCGCUUGAGACUGGCACGCUCGAGUUCGGGAGAGGAUGGUGGAAUUCCCAGUGUAGAGGUGAAAUUCGUAGAUAUUGGGAAGAACACCGAUGGCGAAGGCAGCCAUCUGGACCGACACUGACGCUGAGGCGCGAAAGCGUGGGGAGCAAACAGG